CAAAUUAUUUUUACAUUUACUGUAUUUUAUUAAUCAAUUUAUGAAUUUAUUGCGAUUAUAGAUAUAUAUGUACUUGAUUUGCAUUACUUUGUUGUAUAUAUGAAUUUAUGCAAAUAAGUUUUGUUUUUAUUUUUUGUUUUAGAUGUUUAGUAUAUUAAUUAAUAGAUGCAUACAUUAAUGUUUUACAAUAGUAGCUGAUACGCUCGUGCACACACAGAUCAAGCAAACAACAAACGUACAAACAGCAAGCGCUUGCGGAGCGGCGUGUUCCAAGCGAAUGCAACGCAUGGAACAAUGAAUGAAUGUUUCAUAUGCAUACAUAUGUAUGAAUGUACAUAUGUACAUACAUACAUAUCUAAUAAAUGUAUUGUCGCAUGAAUGAAGCCGACAUGUUUUGCUUAGUUUGUUGCUGCUGCUGCUGCUGCUAUUUAAUGCGACGGCGAGAUUUGGACCUGAUUUUUGUUUAGUUUUUUUUUGCUUUAUUUUAUACUUAUCGCAUCUCUACACAAUGUAGUUGUUGGUUUUGUUCAUUAUACUUAAACUGAUACAGUACAGAUUAUUAAAAUAUAGAUUAGUUACUAAUAAAUCAGUCUAUAAUUAAAAUUUAAUAUUCAAUCUGUAUGCUGCUUUUUUAUGCUUCACUUAUAAUUCUAUUAUAUUUAUGUAUGUACGCACACGCACACAUGAACGGGCUUCGAGCGUAGUUUGCACAUUUGUAUGUACGAUAGCUUAUAAACAAACGAAGAAAUUAUAAAUAUGUAUUACCAAAAGGGCUUAGUGUUAGUUUCAACACCCUCGGAAACUGAUGAUUUGCAUUCAUUCUUUAACCCGGUAGCAUGAUUUUUUUUUGGUGCUGGCUAUGCAUGUGUGCGUUUCUUUUGUUUUAACAAAAACAUAUGUAUACAUACUACACGAAUUAUAUGUCUUAAGGUGCGGUUAAACGUGGCAAUGCAAGCGCUUGUUCUACGCGUUUCGCUGACAAAAUGCGAAAUCGAAAGUCUACUUUGCAGAUUUGGAGGUAUUACUUUUGGUAAUAAAAAUUGCAAGGAGUAAGUGCAACUGAAACUACGCAAAUCGCUUUAAAGAAAUAAUUUCAACUUGCUCGUGCUGCACUAGCAAUUUUCAUUUUUCCUGCAAGUGCUGUCAAACCGAUCGACUGUUGCCGUGUGCCGCGUUUUUGGCGAAUUUGUAUAAAAUUUUUAAAAUGUUGAAUAUAGUAUGAAAAAUACGUGUAAUUAAUUUAUUCUACUGAUAUGGAGUAUUUAAGUAUUACAGUAUUAGACUGUUUUGUGACUGUUGUGAUUUUAGCAGGUUUAGUACAUUUUUCAGGUCAUUAAUUUUGUUAUAAAGCAUAAAAAUGCCUGAAAGUGGACUUGUCUGCGUUCACCGUGUAAAGACAAAAAGUAGUAUCGGAAAGUUUGAGUUUCAGAAAUAAAAAAGUGGCUUUCGAAGCCACUUUACACGCAAGGUGUAACUGCCCUGCAAUCUCUUUUGGAAAUUCUUGAAUUUGACAGACUUUUGAAAAGGACUUGCACUUGCCACGUCUAACAGCUUCUUUAUUAAUUCAAACCAUAUUUGCAAUUACUAGAUACGAUUGGUUUGCAUAUGUUCAAUUUAUUUAGCUUAUUGCUGUUUGUAGUAUGUAUGUAUGUAUAAAAAUAUCCCUUCAGAUUUUCUUGAGAUGUUAUGCUCCUAAUAAAUCUUCAUGGCAAUGUUAGUGGCAAAUAUACAUAAUUAAAUGAAACUGUAAUUAGCCAACUUUACAAAUUGGAAAACUGACGAAGGACGUCGAUAAUUCUUUAACAAAAAUUACAACUGCAAUUUCAAGAUUGAAAAUUAUGCUUAAACAAACUACAACAAUAUUGGACUUUUGUUAAUCAAACGAAGCUAACAAACCGCAAAUUACAGAUAAACAAAAUAUUUUUUAAUAUUAAUAUAUAUCCUAACAAUUGUAUGUGUGAAUGUUUGGUUUAAUAACACAUUUUAAACAAAACUAUUAACGUGAUGACUCUUAAAAGCUUGAGUUGUUUAAAAGAAAAACAAAAUUUACUAAAUUUUUGUAUAACAAAUUACGCACCACCAGACCACCGCGCGUAGCACGCAGUUGUUGGUGAUUUCUGUGGAAGAACAUAAUUUUCAAUUGAAAGCCUAAAUCCAAUCUACUCCAAUUACUUGCUUACAAACGCGAUAGCAAAAUAUGUUGGCAUGGUAGUUUUUUGCUUCAGUGUUUUAAAAAUAUUUAA
Molecule: long non-coding RNA, 2243 nt
Organism: Rhagoletis zephyria (snowberry fruit fly)
Lineage: Eukaryota; Metazoa; Arthropoda; Insecta; Diptera; Tephritidae
Source: RefSeq, a predicted model, not a curated record